GCCGACGUAGCUCAAUUUGGUAGAGCAAUCGCUUCGUAAGCGAUAGGUUAUCGGUUCAAUUCCGAUCGUCGGCU
RNAcentral lists this transfer RNA (74 nucleotides) under bacterium. RNAcentral describes it as "tRNA-Thr". It matches the Rfam family "tRNA". From Rfam's summary of the family: Transfer RNA (tRNA) molecules are approximately 80 nucleotides in length. Their secondary structure includes four short double-helical elements and three loops (D, anti-codon, and T loops). RNAcentral also lists the same sequence under 1 other name. The record is from RNAcentral.